RNAcentral lists this ribosomal RNA (292 nucleotides) under uncultured bacterium. RNAcentral describes it as "partial 16S ribosomal RNA". The record is from RNAcentral.
GGACUACCGGGGUAUCUAAUCCUGUUCGCUCCCCACGCUUUCGCUCCUCAGCGUCAGUAUCGGCCCAGAGACCCGCCUUCGCCACCGGUGUUCCUCCUGAUAUCUGCGCAUUUCACCGCUACACCAGGAAUUCCAGUCUCCCCUACCGAACUCUAGCCUGCCCGUAUCGGAUGCAAUGUCAGAGUUGAGCCCUGAAAUUUCACAUUCGACGCGACAAACCGCCUACGAGCUCUUUACGCCCAAUAAAUCCGGACAACGCUCGCGCCCUACGUCUUACCGCGGCUGCUGGCAC